Molecule: long non-coding RNA, 692 nt
Filed under: Solanum tuberosum (potato)
Lineage: Eukaryota; Viridiplantae; Streptophyta; Magnoliopsida; Solanales; Solanaceae
Description: long non-coding RNA (STUB_LNC005487)
Source: RNAcentral
GAAGGACGUGCUUGCAAGUCAAGGAUCAUCAGUUGCUUCGGAGGCAGCUUUCAGCGCGACAAGAUUUCAAAUUGGAGACCACAGAUACUCGUUAGCAGAAGACAGUUUGGAGAUAUCGGUGUUGUUUAGAGAUUGGAUAAAUGCUGAGCGGAGAAAUCAAGGACUUCCAAAGUUGGAUAGUCAAUUUGAACUUUUCAUAGAUUCAGCCAUUGGAUGUGGUAGUGACUUGAGCAGAGAAAUCAAGGACUUCCAAAGUUGGAUAGUCAAUUUGAACUUUUCAUAGAUUCAGCCAUUGGAUGUGGUAGUGACGAUGGCAUGGAACUUCAAGAUCGUCAACGAGCUUUACCAAGACCAGUAGUUGAUUACGGUCAAUCUAUAGCUGAGUUAGAGAAAGGAUUUACGGGACUAUACAACUAUUAGUAUUACAUUUGAGGCUUAGUUGAAACAGAACCCUUCCUAGAAGGUGGCUGCGUAAACUAUGCACUCUACUAAUAGUUGUAAAUUGUAAUUUGCAAUACAAAUUUAAAUAAAUUGGAAUAUUGGAUUGAUAUUUCUUAAUUUGUGACUUUGUGACUUUGUGUCAUUGUUUUAUCCUUAUUUUUAUUUAAUUUUUUAAAAUUACAAACUUAAGUUAUUUAAAUUACAAGUUAUAAAUAUAACUUAUAAGUUAUAACAUAUUAAUAAGUAAUAAC